This 403-nucleotide ribosomal RNA is filed under the name uncultured bacterium. RNAcentral describes it as "partial 16S ribosomal RNA". It matches the Rfam family "Bacterial small subunit ribosomal RNA", at positions 28 to 526 of the family's 1533-position model. The record is from RNAcentral.
GACGAACGCUGGCGGCGUGCCUAAUACAUGCAAGUCGAACGCAGUGGGGACGGGUGAAUAACCCGUGGGUAACCUCCCAUCAGAGGGGAUAACACUUGGAAACAGGUGCUAAACCGAUACUGAUGGAUGGUCCGGCGGGGCAUUAGCCAGUUGGUGAGGUAACGGCUCACCAGGGCCACGAUGCAUAGCCGACCUGAGAGGGGGAGCGGCCACACGGGGACGGAGACACGGCCCAGACUCCUGCGUGAGGCAGCAGUAGGUAAUAUUCGGCAAUGGUCGAAAGUCUGACCGAGCAACGCCGCGUGAGUGAAGAAGGUUUUCGGAUCGUAAAACUCUGUUGGUGGAGAAGCGGUAUCUAACCAGAAAGCCACGGCUAACUACGUGCCAGCCGCCGCGGUAAUAC